UAGGGAAUCUUCCGCAAUGGACGCAAGUCUGACGGAGCAACGCCGCGUGAGUGAAGAAGGAUUUCGGUUCGUAAAACUCUGUUGUUAGAGAAGAACAGCGCAUAGAGUAACUGUUAUGCGUGUGACGGUAUCUAACCAGAAAGCCACGGCUAACUACGUGCCAGCAGCCGCGGUAAUACGUAGGUGGCAAGCGUUGUCCGGAUUUAUUGGGCGUAAAGCGAGCGCAGGCGGUUAGAUAAGUCUGAAGUUAAAGGCAGUGGCUCAACCAUUGUAGGCUUUGGAAACUGGUUAACUUGAGUGCAGAAGGGGAGAGUGGAAUUCCAUGUGUAGCGGUGAAAUGCGUAGAUAUAUGGAGGAACACCGGUGGCGAAAGCGGCUCUCUGGUCUGUAACUGACGCUGAGGCUCGAAAGCGUGGGGAGCGAACAGG
This 428-nucleotide ribosomal RNA is filed under the name Bacteroidota bacterium. Its description in RNAcentral is "Bacteroidetes bacterium partial 16S ribosomal RNA". It matches the Rfam family "Bacterial small subunit ribosomal RNA", at positions 355 to 776 of the family's 1533-position model. Lineage: Bacteria; Pseudomonadati; Bacteroidota. The record is from RNAcentral.